Zea mays is the source of this 1459-nucleotide RNA transcript. RefSeq lists it as uncharacterized. The transcript is spliced from 7 exons. The record is from RefSeq and is marked validated. Lineage: Eukaryota; Viridiplantae; Streptophyta; Magnoliopsida; Poales; Poaceae.
AACUCUUUACUCGCUCACUCCCCCGCGCCACUGAUCUCUCCUUCCGGGACCCUAAUUCCGCAGGAGGCCGCGCCGGGGGAGUGACGCCGAUGCAGCGCCGGGUGGGCAUGGCGGACGGCGAGGCUAGGUGUCGGACGCUCGGCGCCGUCAUCAAGGAGAAGGAUGAGGAGUUCGCGCUCUUCCUCGAGAUGCGCCGACGCGAGAAGGAGCGCGGCGCUGCGGCCGCCGCGGCGGACCAGCUUCUGCUCUCCGGGGACGUCGCGGCGGAGAACGGGAUGCUGCUCCUCGACCCGCCGCCACCCGCUGAGCCCAAACCGGCGGCGUACAAGGUGGCUGGCGGCGGAUUUAGGAGGGCGCCUGGGGGAGUGGACGACUUCCUCAAUGCAGACGCCAGCGACAAGAACGAUUACGACUGGCUUCUGACACCACCAGGAACUCCAUUAUUCUCAUCUCUAAAAGUUGAGCCAAAAAGGUCCCUGGUGAGUCAAGCUGGAACGCCAAAGGCUCGUCCAACUGCCUUGAAAUCAAGGCAACUUGAUGUUGUGAUGGAGGAGGGGCAAGGGGAGGAAUUGGAGGUUAUGUUGUCGGAAUCAGAUGACAGUGAGUUUGAUCAUGAUGAUGAGUUUCCACCGUCAACUGAUGGAGAUGAGUUGUCAAAAACUGAAAAGACAAAGAGAGGAGGAAAGAGGUCAAGAGCUGGUAUUCAGUUGUCCCCCUCCAAGUGCAAGGCGAAUAGAGUAAAGAGGGCUGGUUGCUGGAAGUAUUUUAAGGUGGUCACUGUUGCUUCUAGAAAGGAACUUGGGGUUAUGGAGACAAAAGCCAAGUGCAAGUUCUGUCAUAGAUCUUAUUUGUACCAUCAAGGGGGCAUCACUACAACACUAAACCGACACCUAGACAAGUGCACACAGUAUUUGAACAAGCUGGCACAAGCUAAGAAAAAUCUUGCUCAAGCUAGCAGUGUGUCAUCAGAAUCCACUUUUAGCACUGGGGGUAGGAUCCUUGAUGAUUACAAGAGUUCAUUGAAGCCAGCAACAGUCCAGGCUUUGGUGUGUGCUUCUAGUUGGAUACGUGGGUCUCGAAGUUCACCUAUUCUUGUAACUGGAGAAGGUGAUGAUGGUGACAUCGAGUCUGUGGAAUUUCCAAAGUGUGUGGUGGCAAGUAAUUAGGCACAUGGUCACAUACUCACAUUGAGGAGAUGGAGGAGAGGGAGAGAUAGGACCCGGGAGAGGAGACAUGAGAGGCACAUGGUCAUUAUAUUUUGUUGGCUGUAACUGUAAGCCUGUAAUUGUUGGUUGCAACUUGUAAGUUGCAACUGUUGCUAACCUGACAUAUUUUGUUGGCUCCCUGCAACUUUGUCCUGAACUCCUGAACCUGAAGUCCUGAUCUAUAAUUGUUGGCUGCAUCACUGCAUGUAUUUGGUUCUAGAACUGAAACUCUGAAAGUAUGGAAUUAUGGAUUA